GAUGAACGCUGGCGGCGUGCCUAAUACAUGCAAGUCGAGCGAACAGACGAGGAGCUUGCUCCUCUGACGUUAGCGGCGGACGGGUGAGUAACACGUGGAUAACCUACCUAUAAGACUGGGAUAACCUCGGGAAACCGGAGCUAACACCGGAUAACAUGCUGAACCGCAUGGUUUAACAGUGAAAGACGGUCUUGCUGUCACUUAUAGAUGCAUCUACGCGGCAUUAGCUGGUUGUUAAGGUAACGGGUUACCAAGGCAACGAUGCGUAGCCGACGGGAGAGGGGGAUCGGCGACACUGGAAGUGGAACAGGGACCAGGGUCCUGCGAGAGGCAGCAGUAGGGAAUCGUCCGCAGUGGGCGGAAGCCUGACGGAGCAGCGCCGCGUGAGUGGAAGAGGCCUUCGGAGCGUGAAACUCUGUUAUUAGGGGAAAACAAAUGUGUAAGUAGCUAUGCACGUAGUGACGGUAACUGGUCAGAAAGCAACGGCUAACUACGUG
RNAcentral lists this ribosomal RNA (497 nucleotides) under uncultured bacterium. RNAcentral's name for it is "partial 16S ribosomal RNA". It matches the Rfam family "Bacterial small subunit ribosomal RNA", at positions 28 to 507 of the family's 1533-position model. The record is from RNAcentral.